GACAUAGGUGGCAAGCGUUAUUCGGAAUUACUAGGCGUAAAGCGAGUGUAGGCGGACGAUUAAGUCCGAUGUUAAAUCUCCAGGCUUAACUUGGAGUCGCAUCGGAUACUGGUCGCCUCGAGUGGGGUAGGGGGCAGCGGAAUUCCCGGUGUAGCGGUGAAAUGCGUAGAGAUCGGGAGGAAUACCAGAGGCGAAGGCGGCGGACUGGACAGUCACUGACACUCAACUACGAAAGCGUGGGUAGCAAACAGG
This 252-nucleotide ribosomal RNA is filed under the name uncultured bacterium. RNAcentral's name for it is "partial 16S ribosomal RNA". It matches the Rfam family "Bacterial small subunit ribosomal RNA", at positions 524 to 776 of the family's 1533-position model. The record is from RNAcentral.